UUAAACGGCCGCGGUNNUUUGACCGNGCGAAGGUAGCGCAAUCACUUGUCUUCUAAAUGAAGGCCUGUAUGAAUGGUAGAACGANGGCUUAACUGUCUCCCUCUUCCAGUCAAUGAAAUUGAUUUACCCGUGCAGAAGCGGGUAUAACUAUACAAGACGAGAAGACCCUUUGGAGCUUAAGAUAAUAGGUCACNUAUGUCNAYACAAUAUAAACUAAAUAGAAAAUGACNUGGCUCUUCAGUUGGGGCGACUAUGGGAGAAAAACARGCUCCCACGAUAGAUUGGACAAAAACGUAAACCUAAGAAAACAUCUCUAAGACACAGAACAUCUGACUUUUAAGAUCCGGCCACCGCCGAUUAANGARACAAGUUACCCUAGGGAUAACAGCGCAAUCCCUUCCAAGAGCCCAUAUCGACAAGGGGNCUUACGACCUCGAUGUUGGAUCAGGACAUCUUAAUGGUG
This 463-nucleotide ribosomal RNA is filed under the name Helogenes sp. Its description in RNAcentral is "partial 16S ribosomal RNA". It matches the Rfam family "Bacterial large subunit ribosomal RNA", at positions 1923 to 2555 of the family's 2925-position model. The record is from RNAcentral. Lineage: Eukaryota; Metazoa; Chordata; Actinopteri; Siluriformes; Cetopsidae.